This is a long non-coding RNA of Spea bombifrons (plains spadefoot toad), 232 nucleotides long. RefSeq lists it as uncharacterized. Lineage: Eukaryota; Metazoa; Chordata; Amphibia; Anura; Pelobatidae. The transcript is spliced from 2 exons. The record is from RefSeq and is a predicted model, not a curated record.
GGUGAUUGCAAGGCAUUCUGGGAGGGAGGAGCCUCCAUUUUACAGUCUUCAGUCACCAGGACUCAUCAUCAGAGCUGUUUCUGUAUGUCUCCUUCCAAAACUCCACCAUCUGUGUAAUAGCAUAUCUGUUUUACCACAUCACAUUACCACAUCACAUUACAUGUGUGUAAUCCUGUUUUGCCAUAUAUACUCAACAACCUGUUCACCAAUAAACAAGUUAAACUACAAAGAA